Molecule: non-coding RNA, 130 nt
Organism: Chelonoidis abingdonii (Abingdon island giant tortoise)
Lineage: Eukaryota; Metazoa; Chordata; Testudines; Testudinidae
Source: RefSeq, a predicted model, not a curated record
UUACAUUUUGAUUGCUAUUUUUCCCCUUCUUUUCUGUGUCUUUAAUAAAAGGUUAAAGGGAUUUCUAUUGGUGUGUUUUCCAUGGUCCUAAGCAGGCUGAGGUCUUUGUAUACCGAAGCCAAGACCUUGU